Molecule: ribosomal RNA, 405 nt
Filed under: uncultured bacterium
Lineage: Bacteria
Description: bacterial SSU rRNA
Rfam family: Bacterial small subunit ribosomal RNA
Source: RNAcentral
UGGGGAAUAUUGGGCAAUGGGGGAAACCCUGACCCAGCAACGCCGCGUGAAGGAAGAAGGCCUUCGGGUUGUAAACUUUUGUCCUAUGGGACGAAAAAAAUGACGGUACCAUAGGAGGAAGCUCCGGCUAACUACGUGCCAGCAGCCGCGGUAAUACGUAGGGAGCAAGCGUUGUCCGGAAUUACUGGGCGUAAAGGGUGCGUAGGUGGCCAUGUAAGUCAGGUGUGAAAGACCGGGGCUCAACCCCGGGGUUGCACUUGAAACUGUGUGGCUUGAGUACAGGAGAGGGAAGUGGAAUUCCUAGUGUAGCGGUGAAAUGCGUAGAUAUUAGGAGGAACACCAGUGGCGAAGGCGACUUUCUGGACUGUAACUGACACUGAGGCACGAAAGCGUGGGGAGCAAACA